Molecule: ribosomal RNA, 440 nt
Filed under: uncultured Eubacteriales bacterium
Lineage: Bacteria; Bacillati; Bacillota; Clostridia; Eubacteriales
Description: bacterial SSU rRNA
Rfam family: Bacterial small subunit ribosomal RNA
Source: RNAcentral
CCUACGGGCGGCUGCAGUGGGGAAUAUUGGUCAAUGGGGGAAACCCUGAACCAGCAAUGCCGCGUGAGCGACGAAGGCCUUCGGGUUGUAAAGCUCUGUCCUUGGGGAAGAUAGUGACGGUACCCAAGAAGAAAGCCACGGCUAACUACGUGCCAGCAGCCGCGGUAAUACGUAGGUGGCGAGCGUUGUCCGGAAUUAUUGGGCGUAAAGGGCGAGUAGGCGGCCAAUUGUGUCAGAUGUGAAAGGCUAGGGCUUAACCCUAACAGUGCAUUUGAAACUGAUUGGCUUGAGUGUAGGAGAGGGAAGCGGAAUUCCUAAUGUAGCGGUGAAAUGCGUAGAUAUUAGGAGGAACACCAGUGGCGAAGGCGGCUUCCUGGCCUAUAACUGACGCUGAUGCGCGAAAGCGUGGGGAGCAAACAGGAUUAGAUACCCGGGUAGUC